This 255-nucleotide ribosomal RNA is filed under the name uncultured bacterium. RNAcentral describes it as "partial 16S ribosomal RNA". It matches the Rfam family "Bacterial small subunit ribosomal RNA", at positions 524 to 776 of the family's 1533-position model. The record is from RNAcentral.
GACAGAGGGUGACAAACGUUGUUCGGAAUUACUGGGCGUAAAGCGCGUGUAGGUGGCGAGGCAAGUCGGGUGUGAAAGCCCCUGGGCUCAACCCAGGAAGUGCACUCGAUACUGCCUAGCUAGAGUCCCGGAGAGGUUGGUGGAACUCUCGGUGUAGAGGUGAAAUUCGUAGAUAUCGAGAAGAACACCGGUGGCGAAGGCGGCCAACUGGACGGUGACUGACACUGAGACGCGAAAGCGUGGGGAGCAAACAGG